RNAcentral lists this ribosomal RNA (602 nucleotides) under Elsinoe araliae. RNAcentral describes it as "eukaryotic LSU rRNA". It matches the Rfam family "Eukaryotic large subunit ribosomal RNA", at positions 1 to 608 of the family's 3401-position model. The record is from RNAcentral. Lineage: Eukaryota; Fungi; Ascomycota; Dothideomycetes; Myriangiales; Elsinoaceae.
UGACCUCGGAUCAGGUAGGAAUACCCGCUGAACUUAAGCAUAUCAAUAAGCGGAGGAAAAGAAACCAACAGGGAUUGCCUCAGUAACGGCGAGUGAAGCGGCAACAGCUCAAAUUUGAAAUCUGGCGCCUCCGGCGUCCGAGUUGUAAUUUGUAGAGGAUGCUAUUGGGUUGCCACCGGUCUAAGUUCCUUGGAACAGGACGUCACAGAGGGUGAGAAUCCCGUAUGUGACCGGCCAGGCGCCUUCUGUAUAGCUCCUUCGACGAGUCGGGUUGUUUGGGAAUGCAGCCCUAAAUGGGAGGUAAAUUUCUUCUAAAGCUAAAUACCGGCCAGAGACCGAUAGCGCACAAGUAGAGUGAUCGAAAGAUGAAAAGCACUUUGGAAAGAGAGUUAAAAAGCACGUGAAAUUGUUGAAAGGGAAGCGCUUGCAAUCAGUCUCGACGGCGGCUGUUCGGCCUCUCUUCUGAGUGGUUUAUUCAGUCGCCGCCGGGCCAGCAUCAGUUUUGGCGGUCGGAUAAAGGCGCGGGGAAUGUAGCUCCUCCGGGAGUGUUAUAGCCCCGCGUGCAAUACGGCCCGCCGGGACUGAGGUCCGCGCUCGGCUAG